GGAAAUUUGAAAUCUUUUUCAAGAAUUCACAAACUGUUUCUAUUCUGAUUGCCAGUUCAAGAUGACAGAUAGAGAACAUGUAUUAAACUUCCUUCCUCUUCAACCCCAUUAAAUUAUAGGAAAUGUGUACUAAAUAAAAUAAGUCCAAAUAGCACAGGGCCAUCAGUAGUCCAGAGACUAUGAGGAAUCCAAACUGAAAGACAGGUUUGAAAUUUUUCUGGAGGAAAAAAUUAGUGGGAACUCUCUUCCUGGUAGAAUCUCUAAUAGCUCUGUGUGAGACACUCAUGGGAAAAAUGAGAAGGCUUAUAAUUUUGUUAAAGAUCUGCCCACUUUAAAAACAGGGAGUGGUAAAAGACAAACUCAAUCUAAUUCCAACCCCAACUUUCAUGGGUACAAAGACUGUAAGUUCAAGCUAAACAAAGCUCUUUUUAAAGAGAUUAAAAGCUAUGUGAGGGGAAGGCAGAGCAGUUAGAGGGGGUGGGGGUGGUUGCUGAUUCAAUUCCUUCUGCUUCUCAGCUCUAGGUGUCUAUUAUGCAGAAGGAAGCUUGCCACCUGAACACUGGAAAACAUCUGACUCUGGAGAAAACAGAGAUAGUUGAGAAGAAAAGGAACCUUAUUCACAGGAAAACAGAAUGACAGACUGCAAAUAACACAGACCACAGGAGUUAGAUGAGUUUGUGAUUUCCAAACUGGGUGAACUUGGGCCAGUUGUUUAGAUUUAUAGAGGUUGUGUAUCUCACUUGAAAAAUAGGAAUUUUUUUUUCUAUCUUACUGGUUGUGAAAACUGAACAUAACAGUGAAUGUAAUAUAUAUCUUAGA
RNAcentral lists this long non-coding RNA (819 nucleotides) under Bos indicus x Bos taurus (hybrid cattle). RNAcentral's name for it is "lncRNA (ENSBIXG00005006292.1)". Lineage: Eukaryota; Metazoa; Chordata; Mammalia; Artiodactyla; Bovidae. The record is from RNAcentral.